GUGACAGCCGCCGCGGUAAUACGGAGGGUGCAAGCGUUGUUCGGAAUUACUGGGCGUAAAGCGCGUGUAGGCGGCCUUGCAAGUCAGAUGUGAAAGCCCUCGGCUUAACCGGGGAAGUGCAUCUGAAACUGCUUGGCUUGAGUACCGGAGAGGGAGGCGGAAUUCCCAGUGUAGAGGUGAAAUUCGUAGAUAUUGGGAGGAACACCGGUGGCGAAAGCGGCCUCCUGGACGGAUACUGACGCUGAGACGCGAAAGCGUGGGGAGCGAACAGGAUUAGAUACCCUCGUAGUCC
RNAcentral lists this ribosomal RNA (292 nucleotides) under uncultured bacterium. RNAcentral describes it as "partial 16S ribosomal RNA". It matches the Rfam family "Bacterial small subunit ribosomal RNA", at positions 505 to 796 of the family's 1533-position model. The record is from RNAcentral.